Molecule: long non-coding RNA, 1229 nt
Organism: Bombus terrestris (buff-tailed bumblebee)
Lineage: Eukaryota; Metazoa; Arthropoda; Insecta; Hymenoptera; Apidae
Exons: 2
Source: RefSeq, a predicted model, not a curated record
GGUGUAACGAUGCAGGGGGGUGGGGGGUUCGGGUUGCUCGUGGGGCAGGACGGAAGUUCAAGGCAGCCGUGGCGCCACGGGGACGCACGGGGAAGCGCCAUGCUGACGAUGACGCGCACGCACUUCCAGAUAUUAUUUGCAGUCGGAGAGACUACGUAUGGGAAUGGUCACGCAUGCGGUUAUGUAUCUCGUCUGGAUGAGUAAUAAACGACAGAUAUGGUGGAGAUGUUUGUUGUAUACGUGAAUUGAUUCUUGGAGAAAUACAGGAUAUUCUGCAAGAAGAAAGAAUGUUACAAAUAAAAAAGUAUAGUACAUAUUAUAAUACGUUAUGGAAAUAUAUAUGUAGGAUUGAGGUUUAAUUAUGAGUAUGAUUCUAUUAUUAUGGCAUUUGUCUUAUCAGGGUUACUAUUAUUAUAGGGUUGUGGUAUUACAUAUAUUUGAGAAACUAUCGCACAUUAAAUUAAAGGUCGCAUUAGGUUUUAUAUAGUUUUAUUGCAUUUGUACAAAUAGCAUUUUUGUUACUUCCAAUGCAUAUGUACCUAUUACAUAUUUUAUAACAAAGAUUAGAUCUUAAAUUUAAUGCAACAGGUACUACCAUAAAGAAAUAAAUACAUACAUAGAUGUUUUUAGAACUCAAGUACUAGGUUCUUGUAAUUAAAAACUGUACUUCCAGAUAUUUCUAUUCUUCUUUUAAUUUGUAGUUCUAGAUAUUAUAAUAAGGAUUCUGGAACUUCUUAUGUUCUAAUAGAAAUUUGCGAACAAUAUUCAUAUAAACAUUUGAUGAUUAAUAAAUAUGUUUACUCUGUACAUAUGUAUUGGACAUAUGACAUCGACGGUUGUUUCAACUUACACAUUUUUAUAUUCUUAUAUUCAUUAUUAUCUAAAAAGGCUAAUGAAAAAUGUGAAGUGCGUAGAGUAUUAUUAUAUAUGCUUGUUAUAUGAUUUUUGAAAGAUGUUUAUUUGUUGCCAUAUAUUUAUUGAAAACAAAGCAGAUAUCAUCGUAACAACUGAAAUACUAUUGCAAUACAAUACUUAUCACUAUUUACCACGUAUGUAGGUAGUUGUACAUAUACAUACAUAUUUAGUACCAGUAUGCAUGUUAAUAUCUUCAAUAUUUUGAUACUUACAUAUGUAGGUAAUACGUAUCAUAAUUUAGUAUAAAAUUGUAACAUUGUUAAGUGUAUAGAUAUAGGUUCAUAUCUAGAUUUAUAAUAUAGUAUGUACAUAUA